This 768-nucleotide ribosomal RNA is filed under the name uncultured Lactarius. Its description in RNAcentral is "eukaryotic LSU rRNA". The stretch from base 299 to 452 matches the Rfam family "5.8S ribosomal RNA". The record is from RNAcentral. Lineage: Eukaryota; Fungi; Basidiomycota; Agaricomycetes; Russulales; Russulaceae.
CUUGGUCAUUUAGAGGAAGUAAAAGUCGUAACAAGGUUUCCGUAGGUGAACCUGCGGAAGGAUCAUUAUCGUACAAAAUGUGUGAGGCAUGCAAGGGCUGUCGCUGACUUUUUAAUCACAAAAAGUCGUGCACGCCGGAGCGUGUCCUCUCGCAUAAAAUCCAUCUCACCCUUUUGUGCACCACCGCGUGGGCACCCUUUGGGAUCGAACCGAUCCAGGAGGGCGCUUGCGUUUUCACACAAACCCCCUUAUAAAAGUGUAGAAUGACCCCAUUUUUGCGAUAACACGCAAUCAAUACAACUUUCAACAACGGAUCUCUUGGCUCUCGCAUCGAUGAAGAACGCAGCGAAAUGCGAUACGUAAUGUGAAUUGCAGAAUUCAGUGAAUCAUCGAAUCUUUGAACGCACCUUGCGCCCCUUGGUAUUCCGAGGGGCACACCCGUUUGAGUGUCGUGAAAAUCUCAACCUCCUCGGUUUCUUCUGGACGCCGAAGGAGGCUAGGACUUUGGAGGCCUUUGCUGGCGUCUCUCGCCAGCUCCUCUCAAAUGAAUUAGCGGGGUCCUCUUUGCCGAUCCUCGACGUGUGAUAAGAUGUUUCCAUGUCUUGGUUUCUGGCUCUGUCGCCUUUGGGACCCGCUUCUAACCGUCUCAAGUCGAGACAACGUUUGAGCGUGUCUCCCUUCUCGGGAAACACCCUCGAGCCCACGAACCCUUGACCUCAAAUCGGGUGAGACUACCCGCUGAACUUAAGCAUAUCAAUAAGCGGAGGA